RNAcentral lists this ribosomal RNA (517 nucleotides) under Microbacterium paraoxydans. RNAcentral describes it as "bacterial SSU rRNA". It matches the Rfam family "Bacterial small subunit ribosomal RNA", at positions 45 to 575 of the family's 1533-position model. The record is from RNAcentral. Lineage: Bacteria; Bacillati; Actinomycetota; Actinomycetes; Micrococcales; Microbacteriaceae.
UGCUACACAUGCAGUCGAACGGUGAACACGGAGCUUGCUCUGUGGGAUCAGUGGCGAACGGGUGAGUAACACGUGAGCAACCUGCCCCUGACUCUGGGAUAAGCGCUGGAAACGGCGUCUAAUACUGGAUAUGUGACGUGACCGCAUGGUCUGCGUUUGGAAAGAUUUUUCGGUUGGGGAUGGGCUCGCGGCCUAUCAGCUUGUUGGUGAGGUAAUGGCUCACCAAGGCGUCGACGGGUAGCCGGCCUGAGAGGGUGACCGGCCACACUGGGACUGAGACACGGCCCAGACUCCUACGGGAGGCAGCAGUGGGGAAUAUUGCACAAUGGGCGAAAGCCUGAUGCAGCAACGCCGCGUGAGGGAUGACGGCCUUCGGGUUGUAAACCUCUUUUAGCAGGGAAGAAGCGAAAGUGACGGUACCUGCAGAAAAAGCGCCGGCUAACUACGUGCCAGCAGCCGCGGUAAUACGUAGGGCGCAAGCGUUAUCCGGAAUUAUUGGGCGUAAAGAGCUCGUAGG